This 629-nucleotide ribosomal RNA is filed under the name Arthrobacter sp. RNAcentral's name for it is "bacterial SSU rRNA". It matches the Rfam family "Bacterial small subunit ribosomal RNA", at positions 225 to 864 of the family's 1533-position model. The record is from RNAcentral. Lineage: Bacteria; Bacillati; Actinomycetota; Actinomycetes; Micrococcales; Micrococcaceae.
AUGGACUCGCGGCCUAUCAGCUUGUUGGUGAGGUAAUGGCUUACCAAGGCGACGACGGGUAGCCGGCCUGAGAGGGUGACCGGCCACACUGGGACUGAGACACGGCCCAGACUCCUACGGGAGGCAGCAGUGGGGAAUAUUGCACAAUGGGCGCAAGCCUGAUGCAGCGACGCCGCGUGAGGGAUGACGGCCUUCGGGUUGUAAACCUCUUUCAGUAGGGAAGAAGCGAAAGUGACGGUACCUGCAGAAGAAGCGCCGGCUAACUACGUGCCAGCAGCCGCGGUAAUACGUAGGGCGCAAGCGUUAUCCGGAAUUAUUGGGCGUAAAGAGCUCGUAGGCGGUUUGUCGCGUCUGCCGUGAAAGUCCGGGGCUCAACUCCGGAUCUGCGGUGGGUACGGGCAGACUAGAGUGAUGUAGGGGAGACUGGAAUUCCUGGUGUAGCGGUGAAAUGCGCAGAUAUCAGGAGGAACACCGAUGGCGAAGGCAGGUCUCUGGGCAUUAACUGACGCUGAGGAGCGAAAGCAUGGGGAGCGAACAGGAUUAGAUACCCUGGUAGUCCAUGCCGUAAACGUUGGGCACUAGGUGUGGGGGACAUUCCACGUUUUCCGCGCCGUAGCUAACGCAUUAAG